Molecule: small RNA, 488 nt
Filed under: uncultured Glomus
Lineage: Eukaryota; Fungi; Glomeromycota; Glomeromycetes; Glomerales; Glomeraceae
Description: SSU rRNA
Rfam family: Eukaryotic small subunit ribosomal RNA
Source: RNAcentral
AGCAGCCGCGGUAAUUCCAGCUCCAAUAGCGUAUAUUAAAGUUGUUGCAGUUAAAAAGCUCGUAGUUGAAUUUCGGGAUUAAUUUACUGGUCGUGCUAUUGUACGUACUGGUUUUAUUGAUUCCUCCCUUCUGACGAACUAUGAUGUCAUUAAUUUGGUGUCAUAGGGAAUCAGGACUGUUACUUUGAAAAAUUAGAGUGUUUAAAGCAGGCUCACGCUUGAAUACAUUAGCAUGGAAUAACGGAAUAGGACGUUUGAUUCUAUUUUGUUGGUUUCUAGGAUCGACGUAAUGAUUAAUAGGGAUAGUUGGGGGCAUUAGCAUUCAAUUGUCAGAGGUGAAAUUCUUGGAUUUAUUGAAGACUAACUACUGCGAAAGCAUUUGCCAAGGAUGUUUUCAUUAAUCAAGAACGAAAGUUAAGGGGAUCGAAGACGAUCAGAUACCGUCGUAGUCUUAACCAUAAACUAUAGCCGACUAGGGAUCGGAUGAU